This 468-nucleotide ribosomal RNA is filed under the name uncultured bacterium. RNAcentral's name for it is "partial 16S ribosomal RNA". It matches the Rfam family "Bacterial small subunit ribosomal RNA", at positions 28 to 507 of the family's 1533-position model. The record is from RNAcentral.
GACGAACGCUGGCGGCGUGCUUAACACAUGCAGGUCGAACGGAAAGGCCCUGCUUUUGUGGGGUGCUCGAGUGGCGAACGGGUGAGUAACACGUGAGUAACCUGCCCUUGACUUUGGGAUAACUUCAGGAAACUGGGGCUAAUACCGGAUAGGAGCUCCUGCUGCAUGGUGGGGGUUGGAAAGUUUCGGCGGUUGGGGAUGGACUCGCGGCUUAUCAGCUUGUUGGUGGGGUAGUGGCUUACCAAGGCUUUGACGGGUAGCCGGCCUGAGAGGGUGACCGGCCACAUUGGGACUGAGAUACGGCCCAGACUCCUACGGGAGGCAGCAGUGGGGAAUAUUGCACAAUGGGCGGAAGCCUGAUGCAGCAACGCCGCGUGCGGGAUGACGGCCUUCGGGUUGUAAUCCGCUUUCGCCUGUGACGAAGCGUGAGUGACGGUAAUGGGUAAAGAAGCACCGGCUAACUACGUG